UAAUUCAUCGAUCAACAGCCCUCUAGCUCUAACUCAACAUGGAGAUCGAGCAACCUAUAUAGCUAGUGCAUCAAGUCUAGCUUGUUCCUUCCUGGACUUGAUGGUGUCUUUGGCGUUUGAUUUUAGUAGAACAAUGCAUGCAUGCGUGUUGGGAUCCAUGUAUAAGAUCCAGAUCGAGCAGUGACCCCUGCCCUGCUAGGCCUUGGCUUUGAAGGUUUCUAUUACUGUAUCCUUCUCGCGAGGUCUUGUAAUUAGCCUUCCGUUAUUAGCUAUUCCCUUCGUUCCAAAUUACUCGUCGCAGAAAUGGAUGUAUCUAGAACUAAAAUACAUCUAGAUACAUCCAUACCUGCGACAAGUAAUUCGGAACGGAGGGAGUAUGACAGAAAUGGGAGUGACAAAGUAGCCCUCCCUUUUCUCACCCCGCACUGUAAAAUUGUUCUCGCUUGCUUCCUUCCUUCCUUCCUCGUUAGCUUGUGAUGAUGUGAUCUCUUUU
This 493-nucleotide long non-coding RNA is filed under the name Triticum aestivum (bread wheat). RNAcentral describes it as "long non-coding RNA (TAES_LNC020313)". The stretch from base 267 to 381 matches the Rfam family "MIR1120/MIR1122 microRNA precursor family". Lineage: Eukaryota; Viridiplantae; Streptophyta; Magnoliopsida; Poales; Poaceae. The record is from RNAcentral.